This 985-nucleotide long non-coding RNA is filed under the name Salvator merianae (Argentine black and white tegu). RNAcentral's name for it is "lncRNA (ENSSMRG00000009009.1)". The record is from RNAcentral. Lineage: Eukaryota; Metazoa; Chordata; Lepidosauria; Squamata; Teiidae.
UGCAGAGAGAAGGGCAGUCAACAGCUUGGAUUUUGGAAAGCACUCAUGGCAGUGUCCAUUGUGCCAACUCUUUCCACUGGGUAGCGGACAAUGUUUUCAGGGCACCUUCGGAAGAUGGUGGUUAUCAUGGCUGCCGCCUGAGAUAGGGAUGCGAUUCAGGCAGGCAAAGGGGAGGUUUUGCAUCACCACGUAGCCCCAUCUGUGCGCCUUUGCGCUCCAUGAAAGAACAGCUCCUUCCUGGUAGCCAGUCCUAGGUAAUACUGGACCCUUAACUCCCUAAUGGCAGACUAUUGUCCAUGAGGCUGAGGAAGGAGCACUUGGCUGUCUAAAAAUAUCUGCCCUACCUACUAUAAGCAGGGAAAUGGGCUUUGUGUUAGGCAGGACAGACAAAAGCUCAGAUUUCUUUGUUUCAAGGAGAAAAGAGCAUUUGUCUUCCUUGUGUUGACCAGUUGCUAUGGUUGUUAUAUGAUAUUUAAAAGUUACUAUGAUGAACACUCUAAAAAUAAAUGGUGCCGUUUUUCAGCUUAAUUUUAAAUAUAUCCAAGAGUAAACCCUUGAACCCCGCUGUUCACUCCUCUGUUGUAAAAGCAAGCUCUGAAAUGAUUUCCUGUUCACAUUUUUUCCCUUCUUGAAGCCUGUUACUUUUUGCCUUAAGGUCCACCUGCUCCCACGUGGAACUGAUGAACUGCUGAGAUGACUCUCAGAUGCUGUUCUGGGUUGCAGAGGUGUUGGAUUUGAGUUUGCCCCUCUGUUCAAAGUCCUUCUUAAAUGGGCUGAACAGGAACCUUGGGAUGGUGAAAGUGAAGUGGGGAAUGGAAGACAUGCGUCUUGAAAGGAGAAGAAGAAUAUAUUGAUGGUGCACUGUCUGGACACGAGGAUGAAGUUUUGAGAAGGUGCAAAAAUGUCUUAUAUUUAGGGGAUAAAAAAGAAGAAGAUGGAGCAAUGACAAAAUAAAUCUUCCAUUGCUUUUUUAAAAGUAAGGUUU